This 356-nucleotide ribosomal RNA is filed under the name uncultured Desulfobulbus sp. RNAcentral describes it as "bacterial SSU rRNA". It matches the Rfam family "Bacterial small subunit ribosomal RNA", at positions 1026 to 1382 of the family's 1533-position model. The record is from RNAcentral. Lineage: Bacteria; Pseudomonadati; Thermodesulfobacteriota; Desulfobulbia; Desulfobulbales; Desulfobulbaceae.
UCUGGAGGACAGGUGCUGCAUGGCUGUCGUCAGCUCGUGUCGUGAGAUGUUGGGUUAAGUCCCGCAACGAGCGCAACCCUUGCCUUUAGUUGCCAGCAGUUCGGCUGGGCACUCUAAAGGGACUGCCGGUGUUAAACCGGAGGAAGGUGGGGAUGACGUCAAGUCCUCAUGGCCUUUAUGACCAGGGCUACACACGUACUACAAUGGCCGAUACAAAGGGCAGCGACACUGCGAGGUGAAGCCAAUCCCGUAAAAUCGGUCUCAGUCCGGAUUGGAGUCUGCAACUCGACUCCAUGAAGUUGGAAUCGCUAGUAAUCGUGGAUCAGCAUGCCACGGUGAAUACGUUCCCGGGCCUU